AACGAACGCUGGCGGCAGGCUUAACACAUGCAAGUCGAGCGGACCCUCCGGGGUUUUCUGCGGACCUCUGGUUAACACGUGGGAAUUUGCCCUUCUCUACCGUAUCGUCUCGUUUAACUUGGGUUAAUACCGUUUACGCCCUUUCCGGGUAAGAUCUCUCGGGGCAGGAUUGGUCCGCGUUUGAUUAGGUAGUUGGUGGGGUAAUGGCCUACCAAGCUGACGAUCCAUAGCUGGUUUGAGAGGAUGAUCAGCCACACUGGCACUGAGACACGGGUCAGACUCCUACGGGAGGCAGCAGUGGGGAAUCUUAGACAAUGGGGGCAACCCUGAUCUAGCCAUGCCGCGUGAGUGAUGAAGGCCUUAGGGUUGUAAAGCUCUUUCAGAUGGGAAGAUAAUGACGGUACCAGCAGAAGAAGCCCCGGCUAACUCCGUG
RNAcentral lists this ribosomal RNA (433 nucleotides) under uncultured bacterium. RNAcentral describes it as "partial 16S ribosomal RNA". It matches the Rfam family "Bacterial small subunit ribosomal RNA", at positions 29 to 507 of the family's 1533-position model. The record is from RNAcentral.